GACGAACGCUGGCGGCGUGCUUAACACAUGCAAGUCGAACGGAAAGGCCCUGCUUUUGUGGGGUGCUCGAGUGGCGAACGGGUGAGUAACACGUGAGUAACCUGCCCUUGACUUUGGGAUAACUUCAGGAAACUGGGGCUAAUACCGGAUAGGAGCUCCUGCUGCAUGGUGGGGGUUGGAAAGUUUCGGCGGUUGGGGAUGGACUCGCGGCUUAUCAGCUUGUUGGUGGGGUAGUGGCUUACCAAGGCUUUGACGGGUAGCCGGCCUGAGAGGGUGACCGGCCACAUAGGGACUGGGAUGCGGGCAGGACUCAUACGUGGGGCAGGGGUGGGAAAUAGUGCACAACGGGCGGAAGGCGGAAGCAGCAACGCCGGGUGCGGGAUGACGGCCUUCGGGUAGUAAACCGCUUUCGCCUGUAACGAGGCGUGAGUGACGGUAAUGGAUAAAGAAGCACCGGCUAACUACGU
This 467-nucleotide ribosomal RNA is filed under the name uncultured bacterium. RNAcentral's name for it is "partial 16S ribosomal RNA". It matches the Rfam family "Bacterial small subunit ribosomal RNA", at positions 28 to 506 of the family's 1533-position model. The record is from RNAcentral.